GAGAUUUUUUUUAUUUUCUAGGCAACUUUAUCUUCUGGUAUCACCCAAUAUCCUUCAUCAUCAUGUUCAUUCCUUCAAGAAUCUUUCAUCAAAAUCCAAAAUAUGCUUCUUUUGUUCCUUUGAUUGAUCUUGAUAAUCACAGCAAUGAUUUACUAUGAAGAAUGCUCGAUCGCGGAAUCCUUUUGAAUCUGUUCAACAAUGGUCCGUGUGGUGGGAUGUUAUUGCCUGGUUGGACGUCCCGGCUCCGAGCAGUUUCAUCAACGUUGCUCAAAUGUUGGGUCACUGUACCAGUUUGGGUGGGAAUUAUAAAAAGAAGAGGAUGAUUUAAGCCAUAUUUCUGCGGGUUUCGUGGAGAAUCUGGAAAACUCGCAAUGAUAAGGUUUUCCACAAAAAGCAUAGCUCGGCGCUUCAAUCAUGUAGGGGGUCAAGAAUGAUGGUUUUUGGUGGAUGCAAAAGAUGGGCCGGUCUCUCGGCUGAAUUGGGAUAAUUGGUGUUGUUUGAAAAUCUACACUUUGGGUAAGAAUCAAUGGCAUCAUAGCAGAGGAAAUCAAAUGUGUGCAGGAACCUAUAGAUCAGGUUCUUGGGCAAGCAAAGGUUAGCAUCAUAUACAAGCUCUUGGCUAAGCAAAGGGUGGGUAAAAAGAAACUGCAGUUGGUUGGUUCGGUUGUCAUGCUUUUGGCUUGACGAAGUUUCAGGACCUUUAUCUCUCAUUUCCACCUUUGGCGCAUAUAUUGAUAAGCUGAUGCGUAGCAAUGCUUCAUUAAUCAUAUUGCAUCUAAAGGAUUUUGGUGUUGGGUGAAUGGUCUGAGUUUGAGGUAAAAUUGGUUUGUGAAGAUCUGCGAGCUGCAAUGAUUUAUGAAUGGGUCUGCAACACAUAUCAAUUAAGGCCACAUGUUUUAUGUUUGAAAUUCACAAGCAUGUGGAUGCUAUGUCGCUUUACGAAGAGUAAAAACAUGUCUUCAAGUUUUUGGGAAAUAGGGGGAGUCAACGAUUAUAAAUAUUGAUUGGCUACCAAGCUAUUCACAACUUGGAGGUGCUCUUGAAACUUUCGGUUUUUUAUUUCAUUCACCUACAAAAGAUUCUUCUGACACUGAAAUGUUUUUUGGAGGUUAUUUCGUGUUGAAGAUGGUUACGGGAGAGAGAUUUGUUGCAACGUUUUGAGACCGAAGUCUCACAACAGGAGGCUCAGGGAGAAAGCAUGAAACAUGUAUUUACAGUGGGCAAAAAGGAUGAUAAAAAGCUUACCUUAGUGUCAAAGUAGGUGAGUAUAGAUCAAGAGUAAAUCCAUUCACACCAGAUCUAGUGCUUGACAGAAGCUGAAAAAGAAUAGCAUAUCAAAGUAGGCCC
Helianthus annuus (common sunflower) is the source of this 1347-nucleotide long non-coding RNA. RefSeq lists it as uncharacterized. The record is from RefSeq and is a predicted model, not a curated record. The transcript has 9 exons. NCBI's taxonomy places the organism in Eukaryota, Viridiplantae, Streptophyta, Magnoliopsida, Asterales, Asteraceae.